RNAcentral lists this ribosomal RNA (636 nucleotides) under Neoactinolaimus sp. Its description in RNAcentral is "partial large subunit ribosomal RNA". The record is from RNAcentral. Lineage: Eukaryota; Metazoa; Nematoda; Enoplea; Dorylaimida; Actinolaimidae.
GCGGUUGGCUAGUGCUAAUUUCGCAUGAGCUCUAGCGGAGGAGAGAGAUGGAGUCCAGCAAACCGUCUAGGAGAGGACUUGCCUUCGGGCUUGAAACCAAGCGGGGAGUAGGGUUACUACUGCACUGUAGAUGUGGACUAGGUGCAAACGCAGUGUCUUGCUGUCAGGCUAGCUGACUCGGUCGGUCGCAUGCGACUAGGCCUUGUUGAUUGGUCUUGGGGGUGCGGCGCUGCCCUGGUGCUAUCCUCGGUGUAAAAGUUGGUCAUCUCUCCGAGCCCGUCUUGCAAACACGGACCAAGGAGUCUAGCGUAUACGCGAGUACUUUGGGUGGAGUGCCCAUAGGCGCAAUGAAACCGGUAGGAAGGUCUCUUCGUGAGAGCUGAUAUGCGAGCCCGUAUGCAGCUAGUCGGUGUACGCGGAGCAGCAUAGCCUUUCCGUCUCGAUCUGCUUGCAGUGGGACGUGAGGUAGAGCGUAUGCGCUGGUACCCGAAAGAUGGUGAACUAUGCGCUGAGGCGAGUGAUGAAGUCCAGGGGAAACGUCUGGUGGAGGUCCGAAGCGCUUCUGACGUGCAAAUCGAUCGUCUGACUUGGGUAUAGGGGCKAAAGACUAAUCGAACCAUCUGGAGUAGCUGCCCC